GAUGAAGAACGCAGCGAAAUGCGAUAAGUAAUGUGAAUUGCAGAAUUCAGUGAAUCAUCGAAUCUUUGAACGCACAUUGCGCCCGCCAGUAUUCUGGCGGGCAUGCCUGUUCGAGCGUCAUUUCAACCAUCAAGCCCCCGGCUUGUGUUGGGGACCUGCGGCUGCCGCAGGCCCUGAAAACCAGUGGCGGGCUCGCUAGUCACUCCGAGCGUAGUAAUACAUCUCGCUCAGGGCGUGCUGUGGGUUCCGGCCGUUAAAAAGCCUUAUUUACCCAAGGUUGACCUCGGAUCAGGUAGGAAGACCCGCUGAACUUAAGCAUAUCAAUAAGCGGAGGA
This 335-nucleotide unclassified non-coding RNA is filed under the name soil metagenome. Its description in RNAcentral is "partial contains 5.8S ribosomal RNA, internal transcribed spacer 2, and large subunit ribosomal RNA". The stretch from base 1 to 120 matches the Rfam family "5.8S ribosomal RNA", at positions 35 to 154 of the family's 154-position model. The record is from RNAcentral.